UAAAGCACAUUAUUCUGUGGUAAAUGAUACUCAGAUGUUCUACAGCAGCAAGGAAUUCAAUAUAUGGGUACCCAUUGAAGGCCUGAUUCCAUUUUCUAACUCCACAGUGCAAGUGAAUGCAUCCAACAGCCAGGGCAGCUUGAUAAGUGAUGCUGUAACAAUUGUCAGGCCUCCAGGAGGGCUUGACACCUUCAGCAGCACUGGCGGGGGGAUGGGUCCAGCUGCCUCUUCCCAGCCUGCAGAAGUCCCCUGGCAAUCCUAGAAUGCGUAAGUCAUGAACCAUUUCAGUCUCUAACAGCACAAGGUAAUGGCUGUCGGGAUUUUGAAGCUGUUAAACAAAACAGGGGGAGAUGGGGUGGAUCAUGGACCAGAGCAGAACUUAAAGGGUUACCGAAGCAGAGGACAUUGCCAGAAUGAAGAGAAUGUGGCAGAAGGUGGGAGGAACUGUCUACAGUGUGCGUGGAGCCAAAGGUCGUGUGACCCAAAACAAGAUGAUUGAAGAAGAAAGCGUGUUGAAAACUGAUAGGUGUAAAGAUGGGCAUUAGUUGUUAAUAGGUAGAAAUAUGCUCACUGUAAUUUUAUAGGGCCAGGUAUUGCUUGUUGAUAGGUUAUAGAUGAAACUAAUUCUUCUAGAAAUAGAGGCCUGAAAUAAAUAAAUUAUUCUCUUGCAUC
Molecule: long non-coding RNA, 672 nt
Organism: Corapipo altera (White-ruffed manakin)
Lineage: Eukaryota; Metazoa; Chordata; Aves; Passeriformes; Pipridae
Exons: 3
Source: RefSeq, a predicted model, not a curated record